AAAGGGAUAGCUAGAUCAAAUGGUGGUUCCAUUCCCAGUUAUCCAAGGAAUCUCCAAACUUCUUUCCAUAUUGGCUGUACCAUUUUGCAGUCCUACCAGCAAU
This 103-nucleotide microRNA precursor is filed under the name Marmota monax (woodchuck). The record is from RNAcentral. Lineage: Eukaryota; Metazoa; Chordata; Mammalia; Rodentia; Sciuridae.